GGUUGACCUCGGAUCAGGUAGGAAUACCCGCUGAACUUAAGCAUAUCAAUAAGCGGAGGAAAAGAAACCAACAGGGAUUGCCCCAGUAACGGCGAGUGAAGCGGCAACAGCUCAAAUUUGAAAUCUGGCCCUGGGCCCGAAUUGUAAUUUGCAGAGGAUGCUUCUGGCGCGGCGCCUUCCGAGUUCCCUGGAACGGGACGCCAUAGAGGGUGAGAGCCCCGUACGGUUGCGCGCUAAGCCUCUGUGAAGCUCCUUCGACGAGUCGAGUAGUUUGGGAAUGCUGCUCAAAAUGGGAGGUAUACGUCUUCUAAAGCUAAAUACCGGCCAGAGACCGAUAGCGCACAAGUAGAGUGAUCGAAAGAUGAAAAGCACUUUGAAAAGAGGGUUAAAUAGUACGUGAAAUUGUUGAAAGGGAAGCGCUCAUGACCAGACUUGGGCCCGGUUAAUCAUCUAGCGUUCUCGCUGGUGCACUUUGCCGGCCCAGGCCAGCAUCAGUUUGCUUCGGGGGAUAAAGGCUUCGGGAAUGUGGCUCCCUCGGGAGUGUUAUAGACCGUUGUGUAAUACCCUGGGGCAGACUGAGGUACGCGCAUCGCAAGGAUGCUGGCGUAAUGGUCAU
RNAcentral lists this ribosomal RNA (616 nucleotides) under Ijuhya corynospora. Its description in RNAcentral is "eukaryotic LSU rRNA". It matches the Rfam family "Eukaryotic large subunit ribosomal RNA", at positions 1 to 641 of the family's 3401-position model. Lineage: Eukaryota; Fungi; Ascomycota; Sordariomycetes; Hypocreales; Bionectriaceae. The record is from RNAcentral.